Long non-coding RNA from Apis florea (little honeybee), 1201 nucleotides. Lineage: Eukaryota; Metazoa; Arthropoda; Insecta; Hymenoptera; Apidae. The record is from RefSeq and is a predicted model, not a curated record.
CACGUAACCCAAUACUGCUUGCGUUUGCGUAUCGUUACUCUCCGUAUCUUUGAUCCUUUUUUUUUGGUAAUCCCCGCCGUCGUUCUUAAAUCGGAACGUUUCCGAGUCGGGUGUCAAAAAUGGGAGUUACAAGUUACGAAAGGAGAGAAGAAUGCGCGACGUACGAGCGAUUGUUGGACGUUCGUUGGCGUUCGUCGCGGUCGUGACCGAGUCUACAGAAUCGCAAUGCACGUGCUCGCGUGUGGUACGAGGAUCGUGUUGACGAAUAACGACGAAACAUGUCACGGACUUGCGUGAGUGUUCUCGGUGUCGUGAGUCGUCCGUUUCAUAUGACGGAUGACCGCCCGUGUUCACCGCUUCGUGCUUGUUUUCAAUUGUUAUUUCGUACCGAUUCGCACGUAUCCGCCACUGCUUCGAUUCGUCAGUCUUUGGAUCACGAAUCAUAUGCCGCGCCCCUAACGUCGUCUGAAAUUAAUAUUUCUGCGAUACUAUGAGAAAAGGAUAUAAAAUAUUUGGGAGCUUAAUCGAGAGAGGAGGGAAGAUAGAGAGAUCCCCACCAUACCUUGAUGGCGUAUGAUGUUUGCCGAUCGUCGAGAUUGUUAAAAAGAAAGAGAGGAAGAGCCCCAGGAAUCGGAAUACCCACUCCGUUCCCUUCGUGUGUGUUUUAUAUAUACUCUUUCGAAACUGUCGUCGCUGGACCGUCACAUCAAUGUGUGCAACGCGAGUCCUUGAGCGAUACGUUUUCGUAUAAAAGAGAUCGAAGACUCCACGGAGAGAGGAUACGUAAGAUGAGGACGACGAGUACGAUUCUCUUUGGCGAGGCUUUUUCUUUUUCUUUCUUUUUCGAGACGACAAAUUAUGGCACCUCCGCGCCGAGGAGAAAUUCCUGAAUCUAGUGUUGGUCAUCCCAUGCCUUUUUUUCGUUGUCUAUCGCCGGACCGCAUGUCCAAAUCGGUCGUCCAGUCCCCGGAAACGGCUCGUGAUCUUUUUCCUUGCGUGAGUUUCACUUUACACCUUACUUUUGUUUUAAAAGUAGAAACCGCUGGAAUUGUCAAUGGAAGCUAAAAUUUUAGAGGACGGGCGUUAAAGAAACCGAUAUUCGGAUAUCUUGCGUGUGUCUUGGCUCUCGAACAUGACAUUACGAUAAUUUGGCACUAUGGUGCGAUGCAUAUUUAAAACACUACGAUUGUAGAAGAGGAAA